AGCGGAUAUAACUCUCACGCUGGAUGACAAGAGUUACAAACGUUCCGGCGCUGUAGGAUGUGGCUGCGGCCGAUUAGGUAGAUGGUGGGGUAACGGCCCACCAUGCCGAUAAUCGGUACAGGUUGUGAGAGCAAGAACCUGGAGACGGUAUCUGAGACAAGAUACCGGGCCCUACGGGGCGCAGCAGGCGCGAAACCUUUACACUGCACGACAGUGCGAUAGGGGGACUCCGAGUGUGAGGGCAUAUAG
Molecule: ribosomal RNA, 249 nt
Filed under: halophilic archaeon
Lineage: Archaea; Methanobacteriati; Methanobacteriota; Halobacteria; Halobacteriales
Description: partial 16S ribosomal RNA
Rfam family: Archaeal small subunit ribosomal RNA
Source: RNAcentral